AUGUUGAGAAUAUGUUUGAGGCUAAGAGCAAUCCUAAUUAAACAUGUUCAGUUUAUCGUGGCCUUUGCAAUUGUAGUAUUCACUGCCCAACAGUUUCAAAUAAAAAGGGAAGAUGAGACAAGGCAGAAGGAGAUGGAUUGGGAGCUGCACACACAAACUUUCAAACUAAUUUUAUACCCGUUGCAACGGACGGGCCCUUUUGCUAGUGUGUGUGUGUGUGUGUGUGUGUGUGUGUGUGUGUGUGUGUGUGUGUGUGUGUGUGUGUGUAUGUAUAUAUACACACGUGCGUUGGAACGGGUAUAA
RNAcentral lists this ribosomal RNA (303 nucleotides) under Triticum aestivum (bread wheat). Its description in RNAcentral is "partial small subunit ribosomal RNA". Lineage: Eukaryota; Viridiplantae; Streptophyta; Magnoliopsida; Poales; Poaceae. The record is from RNAcentral.